CACCAGGCCUGGGGUUCUUCUGAACUCCUCCUGUCCCACAAAAUACACCUGCCAAGGCCUGAAUUUGAUGCGGCACAGCUGGGAGUCUCAGCAGGUUUCCUGGUAGUCACGGUGAUGCUGAUUCUGGAGAAUGUGGCCCAUCUCCGAGAGCUGAUAGGUCACGUGGACACCGCUAGCCCUCCCCACUUCCAAGAUGAAGCUGAGGCCGUGCUGACUUGCUGCCUGGACUCUUUGCUUCUCCUGUUGUUAGGAACAGCUCCUCACAUUUCCUCAAGUUGGCAUGGGAAGCCCUGGGUGUGUUUUGCCAUGAUCCAGGUUUUUAAAAAAUUACAAGAGUCCUACAGGCUUGUAAGAAAUUCAAACCAGACAGGAG
Molecule: long non-coding RNA, 373 nt
Organism: Pteronotus mesoamericanus
Lineage: Eukaryota; Metazoa; Chordata; Mammalia; Chiroptera; Mormoopidae
Exons: 3
Source: RefSeq, a predicted model, not a curated record